AUUGAACGCUGGCGGCAGGCCUAACACAUGCAAGUCGAGCGGAUGAAGGGAGCUUGCUCCUGGAUUCAGCGGCGGACGGGUGAGUAAUGCCUAGGAAUCUGCCUGGUAGUGGGGGAUAACGUCCGGAAACGGGCGCUAAUACCGCAUACGUCCUGAGGAGAAAGUGGGGGAUCUUCGGCCCUCACGCUAUCAGAUGAGCCUAGGUCGGAUUAGCUAGUUGGUGGGGUAAAGGCCUACCAAGGCGACGAUCCGUAACUGGUCUGAGAGGUUGAUCAGUCACACUGGAACUGAGACACGGUCCAGACUCCUACGGGAGGCAGCAGUGGGGAAUAUUGGACAAUGGGCGAAAGCCUGAUCCAGCAAUGCCGCGUGUGUGAAGAAGGUCUUCGGAUUGUAAAGCACUUUAAGUUGGGAGGAAGGGCAGUAAGUUAAUACCUUGCUGUUUUGACGUUACCAAAAGAAUAAGCACCGGCUAACUUCGUG
RNAcentral lists this ribosomal RNA (483 nucleotides) under uncultured bacterium. RNAcentral's name for it is "partial 16S ribosomal RNA". It matches the Rfam family "Bacterial small subunit ribosomal RNA", at positions 30 to 507 of the family's 1533-position model. The record is from RNAcentral.